RNAcentral lists this non-coding RNA (27 nucleotides) under Cricetulus griseus (Chinese hamster). Lineage: Eukaryota; Metazoa; Chordata; Mammalia; Rodentia; Cricetidae. The record is from RNAcentral.
UACUCUGACUUAGGAGCCAAUGAUGUU